Molecule: small RNA, 28 nt
Filed under: Bombyx mori (domestic silkworm)
Lineage: Eukaryota; Metazoa; Arthropoda; Insecta; Lepidoptera; Bombycidae
Description: ovarian small RNA-10743
Source: RNAcentral
AAUACAGCCUGUAAGUCGUAAACUACUA